UACGUAGGGUGCGAGCGUUAUCCGGAAUUAUUGGGCGUAAAGAGCUCGUAGGCGGUUUGUCACGUCUGCUGUGAAAACUGGAGGCUCAACCUCCAGCCUGCAGUGGGUACGGGCAGACUAGAGUGCGGUAGGGGAGAUUGGAAUUCCUGGUGUAGCGGUGGAAUGCGCAGAUAUCGGGAGGAACACCCGUAGCGAAGGCGGCACUCUGGGCCGGAACUGACGCUGAGGAGCGAAAGCGUGGGGAGCAAACAGG
Molecule: ribosomal RNA, 253 nt
Filed under: uncultured bacterium
Lineage: Bacteria
Description: partial 16S ribosomal RNA
Rfam family: Bacterial small subunit ribosomal RNA
Source: RNAcentral